RNAcentral lists this ribosomal RNA (406 nucleotides) under uncultured bacterium. RNAcentral describes it as "partial 16S ribosomal RNA". It matches the Rfam family "Bacterial small subunit ribosomal RNA", at positions 30 to 526 of the family's 1533-position model. The record is from RNAcentral.
AUUGAACGCUGGCGGCAGGCCUAACACAUGCAAGUCGAGCGAGCGGCGGACGGGUGAGUAAUGUAUGGGGAUCUGCCCGAUAGAGGGGGAUAACUACUGGAAACGGUGGCUAAUACCGCAUACUAUCGGAUGUGCCCAGAUGGGAUUAGCUAGUAGGUGGGGUAAAGGCUCACCUAGGCGACGAUCCCUAGCUGGUCUGAGAGGAUGAACGGCAACACGGGAACUGAGACACGGUCCAGACUCCUACGGGAGGCAGCAGUGGGGAAUAUUGCACAAUGGGGGCAAGCCUGAUGCAGCCAUGCCGCGUGUAUGAAGAAGGCCUUCGGGUUGUAAAGUACUUUCAGCGGGGAGGCGUUACUCGCAGAAGAAGCACCGGCUAACUCCGUGCCAGCCGCCGCGGUAAUUC